GCAGCAGUGGGGAAUAUUGCACAAUGGGCGCAAGCCUGAUGCAGCAACGCCGUGUGAGUGAAGAAGGUUUUCGGAUCGUAAAACUCUGUCCUAAGGGAAGAAACAAAUGACGGUACCUUAGGAGGAAGCCCCGGCUAACUACGUGCCAGCAGCCGCGGUAAUACGUAGGGGGCAAGCGUUAUCCGGAAUCACUGGGCGUAAAGGGUGCGUAGGCGGCUUAGCAAGCCAGGGGUGAAAGGCAUUGGCUCAACCAAUGUAAGCCUUUGGAACUGUUAAGCUUGAGUGCAGGAGAGGUAAGUGGAAUUCCUAGUGUAGAGGUGAAAUUCGUAGAUAUUAGGAGGAACACCAGUGGCGAAGGCGACUUACUGGACUGUAACUGACGCUGAUGCACGAAAGCGUGGGUAGCGAACAGGAUUAGAUACCCGGUAG
Molecule: ribosomal RNA, 429 nt
Filed under: uncultured bacterium
Lineage: Bacteria
Description: bacterial SSU rRNA
Rfam family: Bacterial small subunit ribosomal RNA
Source: RNAcentral